Quercus lobata is the source of this 377-nucleotide long non-coding RNA. RefSeq lists it as uncharacterized. The record is from RefSeq and is a predicted model, not a curated record. Lineage: Eukaryota; Viridiplantae; Streptophyta; Magnoliopsida; Fagales; Fagaceae. The transcript has 3 exons.
CAGGCAAAUACUGUGGCUUCAUCAAUUGGCGUGGCAGGAUUACCAUGGGUUAUAAUGGCAGAGAUAUUCCCUAUAAACAUCAAGGGUGCGGGUGGCAGCCUGGUGACUACAGUGAAAUGGUCCUGUACUUGGAUUAUUACAUACACUUUCAAUUAUAUGAUGAAAUGGAGUGAAGCAGGAACAUUUUUCUUAUACUCAAGCAUUUGUGGUUUGACUGUUCUAUUCGUCGCAAAAUUGGUGCCAAAGACAAAGGGGUGAGCUCUGGAAGAAAUAGAAGCAUCAAUUACCCAUUCUUCUACAAUAAGAUAAGGUCCAAGUAAUGCUAGUAAAUGAUUCUUAUAAUAAGUAGUAAACAAGUCAGUUGAAGUGUAUCAUAA